UACGUAGGGUGCGAGCGUUAAUCGGAAUUACUGGGCGUAAAGAGUGCGCAGGCGGCUCUCUAAGACAGGUGUGAAAUCCCCGGGCUUAACCUGGGAAUGGCGCUUGUGACUGGAGAGCUAGAGUGUGGCAGAGGGGAAUGGAAUUCCUGGUGUAGCAGUGAAAUGCGUAGAUAUCAGGAGGAACACCAAUGGCGAAGGCAGUUCCCUGGGCCAACACUGACGCUCAUGCACGAAAGCGUGGGGAGCAAACAGGAUUAGAUACCCUGGUAGUCCACGCCCUAAACGAUGUCAACUAGUUGUUGGGGGAGGAGACUCCUUUAGUAACGAAGCUAACGCGUGAAGUUGACCGCCUGG
Molecule: ribosomal RNA, 354 nt
Filed under: uncultured beta proteobacterium
Lineage: Bacteria; Pseudomonadati; Pseudomonadota; Betaproteobacteria
Description: bacterial SSU rRNA
Rfam family: Bacterial small subunit ribosomal RNA
Source: RNAcentral